UACUUUGCUGUUUUGACGUUACCGACAGAAUAAGCACCGGCUAACUCUGUGCCAGCAGCCGCGGUAAUACAGAGGGUGCAAGCGUUAAUCGGAAUUACUGGGCGUAAAGCGCGCGUAGGUGGUUCGUUAAGUUGGAUGUGAAAUCCCCGGGCUCAACCUGGGAACUGCAUUCAAAACUGACGAGCUAGAGUAUGGUAGAGGGUGGUGGAAUUUCCUGUGUAGCGGUGAAAUGCGUANAUAUAGGAAGGAACACCAGUGGCGAAGGCGACCACCUGGACUGAUACUGACACUGAGGUGCGAAAGCGUGGGGGAGCAAACAGGAUUANAUACCCUGGUAGUCCNCGC
This 345-nucleotide ribosomal RNA is filed under the name Pseudomonas yamanorum. Its description in RNAcentral is "bacterial SSU rRNA". It matches the Rfam family "Bacterial small subunit ribosomal RNA", at positions 457 to 800 of the family's 1533-position model. The record is from RNAcentral. Lineage: Bacteria; Pseudomonadati; Pseudomonadota; Gammaproteobacteria; Pseudomonadales; Pseudomonadaceae.